UUGGAGGGCAAGUCUGGUGCCAGCAGCCGCGGUAAUUCCAGCUCCAAUAGCGUAUAUUAAAGUUGUUGCAGUUAAAAAGCUCGUAGUUGAAUUUCGGGAUUAGUACGUUGGUCGUGCCUUCGGUACGUACUGGUGUUACUGAUUCCCACCUUCUGACGAACCAUCAUGUCAUUAAUUUGGUGUGGUGGGGAAUCAGGACUGUUACUUUGAAAAAAUUAGAGUGUUUAAAGCAGGCUCGCGCUUGAAUACAUUAGCAUGGAAUAAUGAAAUAGGACGUUGACCCUAUUUUGUUGGUUUCUAGGAUUGACGUAAUGAUUAAUAGGGAUAGUUGGGGGCAUUAGUAUUCAAUUGUCAGAGGUGAAAUUCUUGGAUUUAUUGAAGACUAACUACUGCGAAAGCGUUUGCCAAGGAUGUUUUCAUUAAUCAAGAACGAAAGUUAGGGGAUCGAAGACGAUCAGAUACCGUCGUAGUCUUAACCAUAAACUAUGCCGACUAGGGAUCGGAUGAUGUUAUUUUUAAUGACUCAUUCGGCACCUUACGGGAAAC
RNAcentral lists this ribosomal RNA (546 nucleotides) under uncultured Glomus. RNAcentral describes it as "SSU rRNA". It matches the Rfam family "Eukaryotic small subunit ribosomal RNA", at positions 548 to 1098 of the family's 1831-position model. The record is from RNAcentral. Lineage: Eukaryota; Fungi; Glomeromycota; Glomeromycetes; Glomerales; Glomeraceae.